GACGAACGCUGGCGGCGUGCUUAACACAUGCAAGUCGAACGGAAAGGCCCUGCUUUCGUGGGGUGCUCGAGUGGCGAACGGGUGAGUAACACGUGAGUAACCUGCCCUUGACUUUGGGAUAACUUCAGGAAACUGGGGCUAAUACCGGAUAGGAGCUCCUGCUGCAUGGUGGGGGUUGGAAAGUUUCGGCGGUUGGGGAUGGACUCGCGGCUUAUCAGCUUGUUGGUGGGGUAGUGGCUUACCAAGGCUUUGACGGGUAGCCGGCCUGAGAGGGUGACCGGCCACAUUGGGACUGAGAUACGGACCAGACUCCUACGGGAGGCAGCAGUGGGGAAUAUUGCACAAUGGGCGGAAGCCUGAUGCAGCAACGCCGCGUGCGGGAUGACGGCCUUCGGGUUGGAAACCGCUUUCGCCUGUGACGAAGCGUGAGUGACGGUAAUGGGUAAAGAAGCACCGGCUAACUACGUG
This 468-nucleotide ribosomal RNA is filed under the name uncultured bacterium. Its description in RNAcentral is "partial 16S ribosomal RNA". It matches the Rfam family "Bacterial small subunit ribosomal RNA", at positions 28 to 507 of the family's 1533-position model. The record is from RNAcentral.